RNAcentral lists this ribosomal RNA (565 nucleotides) under uncultured fungus. RNAcentral describes it as "bacterial SSU rRNA". It matches the Rfam family "Eukaryotic small subunit ribosomal RNA", at positions 4 to 565 of the family's 1831-position model. The record is from RNAcentral. Lineage: Eukaryota; Fungi.
CUGGUUGAUCCUGCCAGUAGUCAUAUGCUUGUCUCAAAGAUUAAGCCAUGCAAGUCUUAGUAUAAGCUGUUAUACGGUGAAACUGCGAAUGGCUCAUUAAAUCAGUUAUAGUUUAUUUGAUGAUUUCAGCUACAUGGAUAACCGUAGUAAUUCUAGAGCUAAUACAUGGGAAAAGACCCGACUUUUGGAGGGUUGUGUUUAUUAGAUAUGGUAACUGACGGCCCUUUAGUGGGAGAAGUUGGUGAAUCAUGAUAAAUGUUUUACGGAUCGCAUUUGUACGCAAGGAUGGCGAUGGAUCAUUCAAGUUUCUGCCCUAUCAACUUUCGACGGUUAGGUAUCGGCUAACCGUGGUGACCACGGGUAACGGGGGAUUAGGGUUCGAUUCCGGAGAGGGAGCCUGAGAAAUGGCUACCACUUCCAAGGAAGGCAGCAGGCGCGCAAAUUACCCAAUCCUGACAUAGGGAGGUAGUGACAAUACAUACUAAUGCGAGGCCAUUUGGUUUCGCAAUUGGAAUGAGUACAACUUAAACCUGUUAACGAGAAUCCAUUGGAGGGCAAGUCUGGU